RNAcentral lists this ribosomal RNA (515 nucleotides) under uncultured bacterium. RNAcentral describes it as "partial 16S ribosomal RNA". It matches the Rfam family "Bacterial small subunit ribosomal RNA", at positions 28 to 523 of the family's 1533-position model. The record is from RNAcentral.
GAUGAACGCUGGCGGCGUGCCUAAUACAUGCAAGUCGAGCGAAUGGAUUAAGAGCUUGCUCUUAUGAAGUUAGCGGCGGACGGGUGAGUAACACGUGGGUAACCUGCCCAUAAGACUGGGAUAACUCCGGGAAACCGGGGCUAAUACCGGAUAACAUUUUGAACCGCAUGGUUCGAAAUUGAAAGGCGGCUUCGGCUGUCACUUAUGGAUGGACCCGCGUCGCAUUAGCUAGUUGGUGAGGUAACGGCUCACCAAGGCAACGAUGCGUAGCCGACCUGGGAGGGUGAUGGGCCACACUGGGACUGAGGCACGGCCCAGACUCCUACGGGAGGCAGCAGUAGGGAAUCUUCCGCAAUGGACGAAAGUCUGACGGAGCAACGCCGCGUGAGUGAUGAAGGCUUUCGGGUCGUAAAACUCUGUUGUUAGGGAAGAACAAGUGCUAGUUGAAUGAGCUGGCACCUUGACGGUACCUAACCAGAAAGCCACGGCUAACUACGUGCCAGCCGCCGCGGUAA